RNAcentral lists this ribosomal RNA (520 nucleotides) under uncultured Glomus. Its description in RNAcentral is "SSU rRNA". It matches the Rfam family "Eukaryotic small subunit ribosomal RNA", at positions 569 to 1092 of the family's 1831-position model. Lineage: Eukaryota; Fungi; Glomeromycota; Glomeromycetes; Glomerales; Glomeraceae. The record is from RNAcentral.
AGCAGCCGCGGUAAUUCCAGCUCCAAUAGCGUAUAUUAAAGUUGUUGCAGUUAAGAAGCUCGUAGUUGAAUUUCGGGGUCAGUAGGUCGGUCGUGCCACUGGUAUGAACUGGUUUUACUGAUUCCUCCCUCUUGAAGAACUGUAAUGCCAUUAAUUUGGUGUUGCAGGGAAUCAGGACUGUUACUUUGAAAAAAUUGAGUGUUUAAAGCAGGCUUUAGCUUGAAUACAUUAGCGUGGAAUAAUGAAAUAGGACGUUUGAUCCUAUUUUGUUGGUUUCUAGGAUUGACGUAAUGAUUAAUAGGGAUAGUUGGGGGCAUUAGUAUUCAAUUGUCAGAGGUGAAAUUCUUGGAUUUAUUGAAGACUAACUACUGCGAAAGCAUUUGCCAGGAUGUUUUCAUUAAUCAAGAACGAAAGUUAGGGAUCGAAGACGAUCAGAUACCGUCGUAGUCUUAACCAUAAACUAUGCCGACUAGGGAUCGGAUGAUGUUAAUUUUUAUGUACUUCAUUCGGCGUCCUUACG